This 95-nucleotide transfer RNA is filed under the name Bombyx mori (domestic silkworm). It matches the Rfam family "tRNA". Rfam says of the family: Transfer RNA (tRNA) molecules are approximately 80 nucleotides in length. Their secondary structure includes four short double-helical elements and three loops (D, anti-codon, and T loops). The record is from Rfam by way of RNAcentral. Lineage: Eukaryota; Metazoa; Arthropoda; Insecta; Lepidoptera; Bombycidae.
CCUUCGAUAGCUCAGUUGGUAGAGCGGUGGACUGUAGAGGUAUAAAACAGAUUGCUGACAUCCAUAGGUCGCUGGUUCAAAUCCGGCUCGAAGGA